AGCAGCCGCGGUAAUUCCAGCUCCAAUAGCGUAUAUUAAAGUUGUUGCAGUUAAAAAGCUCGUAGUUGAAUUUCGGGGUCAGUAGGUUGGUCGUGCCACCGGUACGUACUGGUCUCACUGAUUCCUCCUUCCUGAAGAACCGUAAUGCCAUUAAUUUGGUGUUGCGGGGAAACAGGACUGUUACUUUGAAAAAAUUAGAGUGUUUAAAGCAGGCUAACGCUUGAAUACAUUAGCAUGGAAUAAUGAAAUAGGACGAUCGAUCCUAUUUUGUUGGUUUCUAGGAUUGACGUAAUGAUUAAUAGGGAUAGUUGGGGGCAUUAGUAUUCAAUUGUCAGAGGUGAAAUUCUUGGAUUUAUUGAAGACUAACUACUGCGAAAGCAUUUGCCAAGGAUGUUUUCAUUAAUCAAGAACGAAAGUUAGGGGAUCGAAGACGAUCAGAUACCGUCGUAGUCUUAACCAUAAACUAUGCCGACUAGGGAUCGGAUGAUGUUAAUUUUAUAAUGACUCA
RNAcentral lists this ribosomal RNA (508 nucleotides) under uncultured Glomus. RNAcentral describes it as "SSU rRNA". It matches the Rfam family "Eukaryotic small subunit ribosomal RNA", at positions 569 to 1078 of the family's 1831-position model. The record is from RNAcentral. Lineage: Eukaryota; Fungi; Glomeromycota; Glomeromycetes; Glomerales; Glomeraceae.